CCUACGGGAGGCAGCAGUGAGGAAUAUUGGUCAAUGGGCGCGAGUCUGAACCAGCCAAGUAGCGUGAAGGAUGACUGCCCUACGGGUUGUAAACUUCUUUUAUAAAGGAAUAAAGUGAGGCACGUGUGUCUUUUUGUAUGUACUUUAUGAAUAAGGAUCGGCUAACUACGUGCCAGCAGCCGCGGUAAUACGGAGGAUCCGAGCGUUAUCCGGAUUUAUUGGGUUUAAAGGGAGCGUAGAUGGGUUGUUAAGUUAGUUGUGAAAGUUUGCGGCUCAACCAAAAAAUUGCAUUUGAUACUGUCAGUCUUGAGUACAGUUGAGGUAGGCGGAAUUCGUGGUGUAGCGGUGGAAUGCUUAGAUAUAACGAAGAACUCCGAUUGCGAAGGCAGCUUACUAAACUGCCACUGACAUUGAGGCUCGAAAGUGUGGGUAUCAAACAGGAUUAGAUACCCCAGUAGUC
This 460-nucleotide ribosomal RNA is filed under the name uncultured bacterium. RNAcentral describes it as "partial 16S ribosomal RNA". It matches the Rfam family "Bacterial small subunit ribosomal RNA", at positions 338 to 795 of the family's 1533-position model. The record is from RNAcentral.